RNAcentral lists this ribosomal RNA (112 nucleotides) under Caerostris darwini. The record is from RNAcentral. Lineage: Eukaryota; Metazoa; Arthropoda; Arachnida; Araneae; Araneidae.
AACGGCCAUGCCAUGCUGAACAUACCGGUUCUCGUUAGAUCACCGAAGUCAAGCAUCAUUGAGCGCGGUCAGUUCUUGGGUGGGUGACCACCUGGGAACACCACGUGCCGUU